Long non-coding RNA from Stomoxys calcitrans (stable fly), 1618 nucleotides. RefSeq lists it as uncharacterized. NCBI's taxonomy places the organism in Eukaryota, Metazoa, Arthropoda, Insecta, Diptera, Muscidae. The record is from RefSeq and is a predicted model, not a curated record. The transcript has 4 exons.
CUUCAACUGUCUGCCUUCCUGGAUCUGAUUCGCGCACACUCAACACUUCAGCAAAAAUGUUGGUCACUGCUGCGGUCGCAGCCUUUAUAACCCAUUGCGAGUGACGCUCUCACUCUUCCCCAUCCUUUGCAAUCUCUCCCUCCAUCCAUAAAUUCCCAUUUCUCCCAUUUAUUCGCAAAUCAUUACAGCAACAACUAUCGCCGCCAUUCUGUCCAAAAACGCAGCGGUGGAAAAUCUAGUAGGUCAUGGUAACCCUAACUAGGUGGCAUCUCCGCUGUACUAAAAACAUCUGUCUCGAAUUGGGUGGCAAGCCACACGCACAGCUGUCACAGACCACACUUCAUUUCCGCCAAUUGCCAUCGAAAAAGAAUACACACAAUUGCCCAGCCGAGAAACUACAUAUCAAAAAAUAAUAUCAAAAUGUUCCUCUGGCACUAAUAUGGCAAUUGUGUGUACAAAAACAAGAAACACAGCAAUCAAUCUGUCAUUGGGUAUAAUCCCAGGCACAGAUCUUAAUACCCCAUCAAAACUGGGUCAGGCCCCCUUCCUCGAAAAAUCAGACGCCAGCCCACAAGGAUAGGCUGGAGAGGGGAUGACGGCCAAGUUCCUAGCAAAGGGUCGCAUGGAAACUGUGGCCAAAAAAAAAACAACGGCAAAAAGUCGCCAGCUAGCACGCCUCCGCAAUACAUGCAUAAGAAAGCACGCAGUCCCCUUAUGCGUGUGUGUGUGUCCAAUGGCCGCAGGGCCAGGAAUGCCAUCGUCAGUCACAGACCUACACGGUCUGUAUAGGUCUCCGCACAUUCGACGACUUCUCAAUAAGCAUCACCCCCAUUAGGCCCCCAUGUCUCCCAAUGCCCUGCCGCCCGACUUUCCACCUUAUCACCCAUCAAUCCGGUCCAGCCCGUGCCGCAUAUAGAGCAAUAUAGCCCGGCCUACAACUGCCAACCGCCGGAAUCAUCUGUUCGCAGGGCCACGAGGCUCAAACGCUGUCCUCCGUUUCCCAGUUGAUACGCCCAUUAGGGUAUCACCCACCGCCCACGCAACAAAACUUCGACGCUUCCUCAUAUUGUAUGAUGGAAACGGCGAUGUGCGGGUUAGUGCAAUACACGGCUAGACAGGAUAAACGUAUGCGGGCCAAAGCCACCCGUGAGUCAACCUAGCAGAACAUGGGAAUCUCACUAGCCAUCCUAUCCAUCGCCCCCCCGCAUAGAUGAUCUCCCAUCCCGGUCAACAGUACCCAUUCACAGUGUUGGCGCGAUAACGUACCCAGUGGAGCCUGAGGGUACUUCUGGCAACCCGAUCUUAGGCGGUUAUGCUCCAGCAAAGAGCUUAUGAUCACCAGCCUGGACAGUUACUUCUUAAGGUGGACUUAUCCAGAUUUGACCAAGAAUCGGAUCCGGGGAGAAACAAAAAAAAACACCCUGGCCUCCGCUCGUCUGAGCCUGUUGGAGACCAGGAAUAACCAGUAUAGGUUUUGUUGGGACACUACACACAAGCAGAAUGGAGAGACAAAAAAAAAGAAACAUCAGUACCGAUAAAACAAUCACUCACAUAUUUACACUUAUAACUCACAUUAAAGGGUAAUUCCCCAAAAUAAUAAAUAUAGACCGAACACUGA